AGACCCCAAGAGAUGUUGCCUUUGAGACACCUAAGAAUGUGUUUGACAAUUAGCCAGUGAGAUGCAAAAGGUGCUUCCAUGAACUGAUACACUUUGUUGACAAAAAGCAAAUGUUAGAUCUAGGGUAACAUAUUUCAAAGCUCCAACCACAAAUCUAUGAAUGGUUGGGUCAUGUAUGGUAUCAGAGACAUAAUUAGAGAGUUUUAAGCCAACCACCAUAGGAGAGGAUUCUGGUUUGGGUGAGUAAAU
This 249-nucleotide long non-coding RNA is filed under the name Lathyrus oleraceus (garden pea). Its description in RNAcentral is "Pisum sativum (pea) long non-coding RNA (PSAT_LNC041953)". Lineage: Eukaryota; Viridiplantae; Streptophyta; Magnoliopsida; Fabales; Fabaceae. The record is from RNAcentral.